This 253-nucleotide ribosomal RNA is filed under the name uncultured bacterium. RNAcentral's name for it is "partial 16S ribosomal RNA". It matches the Rfam family "Bacterial small subunit ribosomal RNA", at positions 524 to 776 of the family's 1533-position model. The record is from RNAcentral.
UACGUAGGGUGCAAGCGUUAAUCGGAAUUACUGGGCGUAAAGCGCGUGUAGGCGGCUUGGCAAGUCGGGUGUGAAAGCCCUGGGCUUAACCUAGGAAGUGCACUCGAAACUGCCGAGCUUGAGUUCUGGAGAGGAAGGCGGAAUUCUCGGUGUAGAGGUGAAAUUCGUAGAUAUCGAGAGGAACACCGGUGGCGAAGGCGGCCUUCUGGACAGCAACUGACGCUGAGACGCGAAAGCGUGGGGAGCAAACAGG